This 253-nucleotide ribosomal RNA is filed under the name uncultured bacterium. RNAcentral describes it as "partial 16S ribosomal RNA". It matches the Rfam family "Bacterial small subunit ribosomal RNA", at positions 524 to 776 of the family's 1533-position model. The record is from RNAcentral.
GACGUAGGGCGCGAGUGUUGUCCGGAUUUAUUGGGCGUAAAGAGCUCGUAGGCGGCUUGUUGCGUCGGCUGUGAAAUCCCGUGGCUUAACUGCGGGCUUGCAGCUGAUACGGGCGGGCUGGAGUUCGGUAGGGGAGACUGGAAUUCCUGGUGUAGCGGUGAAAUGCGCAGAUAUCAGGAGGAACACCGAUGGCGAAGGCAGGUCUCUGGGCCACUACUGACGCUGAGAAGCGAAAGCAUGGGGAGCGAACAGG